GAGUACGGCCGCAAGGUUAAAACUCAAAUGAAUUGACGGGGGCCCGCACAAGCGGUGGAGCAUGUGGUUUAAUUCGAUGCAACGCGAAGAACCUUACCUGGUCUUGACAUCCACAGAAGAAUCCAGAGAUGGAUUUGUGCCUUCGGGAACUGUGAGACAGGUGCUGCAUGGCUGUCGUCAGCUCGUGUUGUGAAAUGUUGGGUUAAGUCCCGCAACGAGCGCAACCCUUAUCCUUUGUUGCCAGCGAUUAGG
RNAcentral lists this ribosomal RNA (252 nucleotides) under Salmonella enterica subsp. enterica serovar Typhimurium. RNAcentral's name for it is "partial 16S ribosomal RNA". It matches the Rfam family "Bacterial small subunit ribosomal RNA", at positions 878 to 1129 of the family's 1533-position model. Lineage: Bacteria; Pseudomonadati; Pseudomonadota; Gammaproteobacteria; Enterobacterales; Enterobacteriaceae. The record is from RNAcentral.